Molecule: long non-coding RNA, 607 nt
Organism: Bubalus bubalis (water buffalo)
Lineage: Eukaryota; Metazoa; Chordata; Mammalia; Artiodactyla; Bovidae
Exons: 3
Source: RefSeq, a predicted model, not a curated record
GGUGUUUACUCUGGCCCAUGGGGCUGGGUCACUCCUGGAAGUGAGGCUGUUCCGUGCCCUGUGGGUACCAAGCGGCAUCCCCAGGCCCCAUCCCCCUUUGAGGCCAGGAACACCUCCCCAGCCACAACAUCCGUGGAUUCUUUACCACUAGUGCCACCUGGGAAGCCCCCAGAUCAGGCUACAACUCCUGAAAGAUGACUUUCCUAAACUGGGACCGCAUCUGAAACAAUUUUCCGGAAUGCAGAGCAGCGUUUCUUUUGGACGAAUUUAUAUUCCUCAAACACAAAUGACAUCCCGUGAUAAGUUUUGGCUGCAAAACAACGUCGGGAAAUGUGUUCAGAUACGUUACACUGUCCUAAGACCCGAGCUGAAAUGCUGACACGAAGGUGCAGAGUGUGUUCUGGGGGCUUCAGCCAGAAUCGCCCGCCAGAGAGAAACACAACAACAACAACACAAAGAAACACAAAUCUGCGCGACUCGGCAAGUCUCCCUGCAAGGGCUGCUCUACUGACCGCGGGCUGCUGCGUUCUCACACGGGUGGCAGUCGUGGGGUGGCGGCGGCCUUCGUCAGACAGCCCGCACUCAGAUGAACAAGGCAGGAUCAAGU